This 104-nucleotide small nuclear RNA is filed under the name Peromyscus maniculatus bairdii (prairie deer mouse). Lineage: Eukaryota; Metazoa; Chordata; Mammalia; Rodentia; Cricetidae. RNAcentral also lists the same sequence under 1 other name. The record is from RNAcentral.
UUGUCUUUGGCAGCACAUAUACUUCAAUUGGAAUGAUACAAAGAAGAUUAGUAUGGCCGCUGAGCAAGAAUGAUGCACAAAUUCAUGAAGCGUUUCAUAUCUUU